This 472-nucleotide ribosomal RNA is filed under the name uncultured Magnetococcus sp. Its description in RNAcentral is "bacterial SSU rRNA". It matches the Rfam family "Bacterial small subunit ribosomal RNA", at positions 79 to 587 of the family's 1533-position model. The record is from RNAcentral. Lineage: Bacteria; Pseudomonadati; Pseudomonadota; Magnetococcia; Magnetococcales; Magnetococcaceae.
UUCGGGCGCCGGCGAGUGGCGAACGGGUGAGUAACACGUGGAGACCUAUCCAUUGGUGGGGGACAACAGCUGGAAACGGCUGCUAAUACCGCAUAAUCCCUACGGGGGAAAGAUUUAUCGCCAUAGGAGGGUUCCGCGUCGGAUUAGCUAGUUGGUGGGGUAACGGCCUACCAAGGCAACGAUCCGUAGCUGGUCUUAGAGGAUGAUCAGCCACACUGGGACUGAGACACGGCCCAGGCUCCUACGGGAGGCAGCAGUGGGGAAUAUUGCGCAAUGGAGGAAACUCUGACGCAGCGAUGCCGCGUGGGUGAAGAAGGCCUUAGGGUUGUAAAGCCCUUUCAGUGGGAACGAUGGUGACGGUACCCACAGAAGAAGCCCCGGCUAACUCCGUGCCAGCAGCCGCGGUAAUACGGAGGGGGCGAGCGUUGUUCGGAAUUAUUGGGCGUAAAGCGCGCGUAGGCGGUUUAUUAAG